RNAcentral lists this ribosomal RNA (253 nucleotides) under uncultured bacterium. RNAcentral's name for it is "partial 16S ribosomal RNA". It matches the Rfam family "Bacterial small subunit ribosomal RNA", at positions 524 to 776 of the family's 1533-position model. The record is from RNAcentral.
GACGUAGGGGGCGAGCGUUGUCCGGAUUUAUUGGGCGUAAAGCGUGCGUAGGCGGCUGCGCAAGUCGGGUGUGAAACCCCGGGGCUCAACCCCGGAACUGCAUCCGAUACUGCGUGGCUAGAGGUAGGUAGGGGAGAUCGGAAUUCCUGGUGUAGCGGUGAAAUGCGCAGAUAUCAGGAAGAACACCGGUGGCGAAGGCGGCUCUCUGGGCCUUACCUGACGCUGAGGAGCGAAAGCGUGGGUAGCGAACAGG